Molecule: long non-coding RNA, 310 nt
Filed under: Durio zibethinus
Lineage: Eukaryota; Viridiplantae; Streptophyta; Magnoliopsida; Malvales; Malvaceae
Description: long non-coding RNA (DZIB_LNC002037)
Source: RNAcentral
UUCAGAGCUCCAGUAGAACCCUACUAGGUUCAUUGAUGGUACCUUGGAUUGCAAUAAGCUUCAUGGUGCUCUUGCGGAAGUCAAGCAGACUUUGGUAGUAGUGGAAGACUUGAAACUAGUUAAGCAUAGAUUAUGAGGUGUUUGUUUGUUGGUGUGGUUUUGAGCCGUUUUUGGAGCAAUGCAUUUGUAACAGUUGUUUAUAAGUUAUUAAUUAUGAUGCUUCAACUUUGGUGUUUCUCUGCGUAAUUAUGCUUUGAAUACGGGUUGAAUAUUUAAUUUUGAUUUAUUCUCUAAAGAUCACAAUCUAGCG